Molecule: small RNA, 998 nt
Filed under: Pan troglodytes (chimpanzee)
Lineage: Eukaryota; Metazoa; Chordata; Mammalia; Primates; Hominidae
Description: processed transcript
Source: RNAcentral
AUUGAGAUUACAGGCGUGAGCCACCGCGCCUGGCAAAAGCCACAUGUUCUUAGCAGUUCUUAGUAGUGGUAGAGUUAAGUUUGUCUCUGGGGCUCUUUGUUACCACCGCUCCAGAGUUGCCCAUUGAGGACUAUCAAUUGGAAAUAUGUCCCUGAGGAAAAAAUGAUAUACCAAUUGAUUGUGUGUUACCACUCAGAUACACAGGCAACAGGCUUUUAGCCUGUGAUAAAGGACCAGAGGUUAGUUCAGCUGAGCACUCUUCCAGCAGCCACCAGAGGGUUCUGAAACAGAUUCCCCCUUGGCAAGGUUUCCCAAAUGUCUAAAUUACUAAAUCAGUAUGGGAGGUCACCAGCUCUGUGACUGGUUAAUGUAGUUUUUCCCAAGAGCACUCCUUCUCUGACCGAGGAAAUGCUGGAAAUCGAUGGGAUAAGUAAUGUCUGGGUGACUGCUUUAGGCUGGCUUUAUGUUUACAUAUUGAAUUGAUUUUCCUUGCUGUGUUUAUAGUACAAGUUGUGCAAAGUGAGAAAGAUUACUGUGGGAGUGAAGGGAAUCCCUCACCUGGUGACUCAUGAUGCUCGAACCAUCCGCUACCCAGAUCCUGUCAUCAAGGUGAACGAUACUGUGCAGAUUGAUUUAGGGACUGGCAAGAUAAUCAACUUUAUCAAAUUUGAUACAGGCAAUUUGUGUAUGGUGAUUGGUGGAGCCAACCUCGGUCGUGUUGGUGUGAUCACCAACAGGGAAAGACAUCCUGGUUCUUUUGAUGUGGUGCAUGUGAAGGAUGCCAAUGGCAACAGCUUUGCCACGAGGCUUUCCAACAUUUUUGUCAUUGGCAAUGGCAAUAAACCUUGGAUUUCCCUGCCCAGGGGAAAGGGCAUUCGACUUACUGUUGCUGCAGAGAGAGAUAAGAGGCUGGCCACCAAACAGAGCAGUGGCUAAAUUGCAGUAGCAGCAUAUCUUUUUUUCUUUACACAAAUAAACAGUGAAUUCUCGUUUCCUAA